RNAcentral lists this long non-coding RNA (344 nucleotides) under Brassica napus (rape). Its description in RNAcentral is "long non-coding RNA (BNAP_LNC026684)". Lineage: Eukaryota; Viridiplantae; Streptophyta; Magnoliopsida; Brassicales; Brassicaceae. The record is from RNAcentral.
CACAAAGGCGGCAACAACAUCUCCACCUGCUCACUCCUCUUGCCUAAUAAAAAUAGCUUAUAUGCUCAAUGUCAACAUGCCAAAGCUAUUGUCUUCUUAUGAGAAAUACAUAUAUUCGUUUAAAACUCAUUAAGACCUAAAUACUAAUUGUCACUCAUUUUAUAGUUAUUUUUACAAGUCUUCAUAUAUUUAUUUUAAAGGUCCAGUAAAAACAACAAGUUUAAAAGAAAAAAAACAUAUAACCAACAUAAUAAAAAUAAAAAAAAAUAUUACUUAAUACACACAACUUACACAACUAAACUGGAGAAAAAAUAUCCAGAAACAAAAGGUACUCUCAACAACCU